This is a non-coding RNA of Labrus bergylta (ballan wrasse), 476 nucleotides long. NCBI's taxonomy places the organism in Eukaryota, Metazoa, Chordata, Actinopteri, Labriformes, Labridae. The record is from RefSeq and is a predicted model, not a curated record.
CCCCCCCCACCCUCCCCCGAUCUCACUAUUCUGUCGGCAUUGUCACAUUCCUGCAGUGUUGUCUGUCAGGUACUCCUUAAGGAGUUUGGAUAUGAACAUAACUCCACAUGAAUGCCAAUUUUGCUCUAUAUGCUGCCGAUAUAAAAUAAGCAGCUGUUUGUUAACUUACAAGGUUGAUCAAGUUCAAAAGUCACAGGGUUUUCAGCAAACAAAGACCAUGAAAUGAACUGUGGAUGGUCUUAAAGACAUCAAAGCAUGUUAUAAUGCACCUUUCAACAUGGGUUCAAUGUCUGUAGACGUAAUAAAACUCUGCUCUUUGAGGACUUGGCAGCACUAUCAGCUUUCUUAUCAUUCUCCCUGUUGGCAGAAUAAAUCAAAUUGUUACGAAACAGGAUUUGGCGUGUGGCUCAGGGAUGACCAGAAAUAAAUGUCUGAGUCUGAAGAUGAUUGUUGAAAUAAAAAGUGAUGAAUUGAAA